This 467-nucleotide ribosomal RNA is filed under the name uncultured bacterium. RNAcentral's name for it is "partial 16S ribosomal RNA". It matches the Rfam family "Bacterial small subunit ribosomal RNA", at positions 28 to 506 of the family's 1533-position model. The record is from RNAcentral.
GACGAACGCUGGCGGCGUGCUUAACACAUGCCAGUCGAACGGAAAGACCCUGCUUUUGUGGGGUGCUCGAGUGGCGAACGGGUGAGUAACACGUGAGUAACCUGCCCUUGACUUUGGGAUAACUUCAGGAAACUGGGGCUAAUACCGGAUAGGAGCUCCUGCUGCAUGGUGGGGGUUGGAAAGUUUCGGCGGUUGGGGAUGGACUCGCGGCUUAUCAGCUUGUUGGUGGGGUAGUGGCUUACCAAGGCUUUGACGGGUAGCCGGCCUGAGAGGGUGACCGGCCACAUUGGGACUGAGAUACGGCCCAGACUCCUACGGGAGGCAGCAGUGGGGAAUAUUGCACAAUGGGCGGAAGCCUGAUGCAGCAACGCCGCGUGCGGGAUGACGGCCUUCGGGUGGUAAACCGCUUUCGCCUGUGACGAAGCGUGAGUGACGGUAAUGGGUAAAGAAGCACCGGCUAACUACGU